AGUGAACGCUGGCGGUAGGCCUAACACAUGUAAGUCGAACGGCAGCACAGGAGAGCUUGCUCUCUGGGUGGCGAGUGGCGGACGGGUGAGGAAUACAUCGGAAUCUACUCUGUCGUGGGGGAUAACGUAGGGAAACUUACGCUAAUACCGCAUACGACCUACGGGUGAAAGCAGGGGACCUUAGGGCCUUGCGCGAUUGACUGAGCCGAUGUCGGAUUAGCUAGUUGGCGGGGUAAAGGCCCACCAAGGCGACGAUCCGUAGCUGGUCUGAGAGGAUGAUCAGCCACACUGGAACUGAGACACGGUCCAGACUCCUACGUGAGGCAGCAGUGGGGAAUAUUGGACAAUGGGCGCAAGCCUGGUCCAGCCAUACCGCGUGGGUGAAGAAGGCCUUCGGGUUGUAAAGCCCUUUUGUUGGGAAAGAAAUCCAGCUGGCUAAUACCCGGUUGGGAUGACGGUACCCAAAGAAUAAGCACCGGCUAACUUCGUGCCAGCCGCCGCCGUAG
Molecule: ribosomal RNA, 506 nt
Filed under: uncultured bacterium
Lineage: Bacteria
Description: partial 16S ribosomal RNA
Rfam family: Bacterial small subunit ribosomal RNA
Source: RNAcentral